AAAGCCUGACCCAGCGACGCCGCGUGCGGGAUGAAGGCCUUCGGGUUGUAAACCGCUUUCAGCAGGGAAGAAGCGAAAGUGACGGUACCUGCAGAAGAAGCACCGGCUAACUAUGUGCCAGCAGCCGCGGUAAUACAUAGGGUGCAAGCGUUGUCCGGAAUUAUUGGGCGUAAAGAGCUCGUAGGUGGUUCGUUACGUCGGAUGUGAAAACCUGAGGCUCAACCUCAGGCCUGCAUUCGAUACGGGCGAACUGGAGUGUGGUAGGGGAGACUGGAAUUCCUGGUGUAGCGGUGGAAUGCGCAGAUAUCAGGAGGAACACCAAUGGCGAAGGCAGGUCUCUGGGCCACUACUGACACUGAGGAGCGAAAGCGUGGGGAGCAAACARGAKURGAUACCCUGGUAGUCCACGCUGUAAACGGBBBSCMYKGAUUGUGGGAACCUUCCACGGUUUCUGCGACGUAGCAAACGCAUUAAKUGCC
This 479-nucleotide ribosomal RNA is filed under the name uncultured bacterium. RNAcentral's name for it is "partial 16S rRNA". It matches the Rfam family "Bacterial small subunit ribosomal RNA", at positions 378 to 868 of the family's 1533-position model. The record is from RNAcentral.